This 540-nucleotide ribosomal RNA is filed under the name Aglaura hemistoma. RNAcentral describes it as "partial 16S ribosomal RNA". It matches the Rfam family "Bacterial large subunit ribosomal RNA", at positions 1833 to 2553 of the family's 2925-position model. Lineage: Eukaryota; Metazoa; Cnidaria; Hydrozoa; Trachymedusae; Rhopalonematidae. The record is from RNAcentral.
CCUAGACAUAAAGGUAAGGGUGGUGCCUGGUCAGUGCUUCCGGAUAAGAUAUAAACCGCAGGUAAACACACGGCUUAGCGUGAGGCUGGUAAUGUAGCAUAAUUAUUUGGCCUUUAAUUGGGGUCUUGAGAAUGGUGAAACGAUUUCCUGGCUGUCUCCUUUCCCAUCUUUUUUAAUUUGGAGUCGAGGUCAAGAUACCUUGACAAUUAUGCAAGACGAGAAGACCCCGUGAACCUUUACUAUAGGAGCUAAUUGAACCUUUCAUUUUCUGUGAAUAGAGAGCAAAGAGCUUUUGGUAGUUUGGCUGGGGUGGCCGCUUUCUAAUAAAAAACGAAAGUCUAGAACUCAAGCUCCGUUAAGCAGUUUGAAAUUAGUAGUCCAGAGGAUAAAGUUGUGUUUUAGGUCAGUGGACCUCACUAAAGGGGUUUUAGAACAUCAAACGAUACAAGGUACUCUGGGGAUAACAGCGUUAUCCGAAGAGAGAGACUAAAUCCGGCUUCGGGUUUGCGACCUCGAUGUUGAAUUGGGCUAACCGGUUGG